This 224-nucleotide long non-coding RNA is filed under the name Mytilus galloprovincialis (Mediterranean mussel). The record is from RNAcentral. Lineage: Eukaryota; Metazoa; Mollusca; Bivalvia; Mytilida; Mytilidae.
AACCUGGAGUUCCUUGUGGGAUAUCGUCUCUCACCGCCAUGCACAUCAACAUAAAAUGGGCUAUAUCGAAAUAUGGAUACAUCUUCAGUUUUGUUACUGUUGUAGCAAUGUCAAGAAAAGUCUGUGGAUCCAUGUUUGCAGUUUUUAUUUCUACUCUCCUCUUUCUUGAUGAGUGCUCGGUAGCCGGCGGAAACUGCUACUGCCACCUCUGAUGGAUAUCAAAU